AAAUGUCCAUAUAGCCAAAAUGUCACUCAUUGACCUCGCAGGAUCUGAGCGGGCCAGUAUUUCUGGUACUAAAGGGACAAGAUUUGUAGAAGGCACAAAUAUUAACAAAUCUCUUCUAGCUCUUGGGAAUGUCAUCAAUGCCUUAGCAGAUACAAAGAGAAGAAAUCAGCAUAUUCCUUACAGAAAUAGUAAACUUACUCGUUUGCUGAAGGAUUCUCUUGGAGGAAACUGUCAAACUAUAAUGAUAGCUGCUGUUAGUCCUUCCUCUUUAUUCUACGAUGACACAUAUAACACUCUUAAGUACGCAAAUCGUGCCAAAGACAUUAAGUCUUCUCAGUUGAAGAGCAAUGUUGUCAACCUCAGUAGUCACAUAUCACAGUAUGUAAAGAUCUGCAACAUGCAGAA
RNAcentral lists this long non-coding RNA (405 nucleotides) under Rattus norvegicus (Norway rat). RNAcentral describes it as "long non-coding RNA NONRATT018435". Lineage: Eukaryota; Metazoa; Chordata; Mammalia; Rodentia; Muridae. The record is from RNAcentral.